Small nuclear RNA from Otolemur garnettii (small-eared galago), 102 nucleotides. NCBI's taxonomy places the organism in Eukaryota, Metazoa, Chordata, Mammalia, Primates, Galagidae. The record is from Ensembl.
GUGCUCACUUCAGGGGCACGUACACUAAAAUUAGAAUGGUACAGUGAAGAUUCCAGGGCCCCCAAGGCUGACACGCAGAUUCAUGGAAUGCUCCACAUUUUU